CAGGGAAUUUUGCGCAAUGGGCGAAAGCCUGACGCAGCAACGCCGCGUGGGGGAAGAAGGCCUUCGGGUCGUAAACCCCUUUUGCCGGGGAAGAUCAUGACGGUACCCGGCGAAUAAGCCACGGCUAACUACGUGCCAGCAGCCGCGGUAAUACGUAGGUGGCAAGCGUUGUCCGGAUUUAUUGGGCGUAAAGCGCGCGCAGGCGGUCCGUUAAGUCCGAGGUGAAAUCUCCCGGCUCAACUGGGAGGG
RNAcentral lists this ribosomal RNA (249 nucleotides) under uncultured bacterium. RNAcentral's name for it is "partial 16S ribosomal RNA". It matches the Rfam family "Bacterial small subunit ribosomal RNA", at positions 355 to 621 of the family's 1533-position model. The record is from RNAcentral.